Deltaproteobacteria bacterium is the source of this 112-nucleotide non-coding RNA. NCBI's taxonomy places the organism in Bacteria, Pseudomonadati, Myxococcota, Myxococcia. The record is from Rfam.
UUACCCUUUUAAUUUGGCCCCGAGAGGUUAAGAAAGGGAGUAAAGAUGAAAAUUCGCAUUGAUAUUAAAAAAAUACCCCCGUGCCGUUGGGAAGGCAAGGGGGUAUUUUUUU